Molecule: ribosomal RNA, 320 nt
Filed under: uncultured bacterium
Lineage: Bacteria
Description: bacterial SSU rRNA
Rfam family: Bacterial small subunit ribosomal RNA
Source: RNAcentral
UGACGGUACUUGACUAAGAAGCCCCGGCUAACUACGUGCCAGCAGCCGCGGUAAUACGUAGGGGGCAAGCGUUAUCCGGAUUUAUUGGGCGUAAAGAGAGUGCAGGCGGUUUCUUAAGUCUGAUGUGAAAGCCUUCGGCUCAACCGAAGAAGUGCACCGGAAACUGGGAAACUUGAGUACAGAAGAGGGCAGUGGAACUCCAUGUGUAGCGGUGGAAUGCGUAGAUAUAUGGAAGAACACCAGUGGCGAAGGCGGCUGCCUGGUCUGUAACUGACGCUGAGACUCGAAAGCAUGGGUAGCGAACAGGAUUAGAUACCCUG